UAUAAUAAUUAUCAGUACCUCAGUCCUGAUCAAUAUUUUGAUUUGAUGACAAAAGUUCGUCCACUUUGUUGCGCCAGUAUCUCGGUUGUAAAUUGUCGAUUUGUGGAGCUAAAUCUAGAUGGCCUCCCAUGUCAGCAGAAUUUUUCACCUAAUCAAAGGUGUAAUAAAUUUUAAAGUUAAUUAUACUUACUGGUUGUUAGUAUCAUUAUUUUCGCUUCAAUUGUGAAAAAGGAAAGACCACAUAAGUAUACUAAUGCAAUUCUAUUACUGCUUAAUCGUUAUCAUUGUUGCUCUCACGAUUGUGGGUGAAUCAUUUGGUCAAACAUCACGACCGACCUAAAGGAUAACCCCACCAUGGUUGCGACCACGAACCCCAUCACCAAGGCGAUCCCCACCACGAGGUUGAUGGACUUUGCCUACCAUUAACUGUUGUCCAAUUGACGCAACGUCGAAUUCCCAUAAUACAUAAACUAAACCUAACUAAAUACAAUAUUCACAAAAAUAUAA
Molecule: long non-coding RNA, 507 nt
Organism: Drosophila willistoni
Lineage: Eukaryota; Metazoa; Arthropoda; Insecta; Diptera; Drosophilidae
Exons: 2
Source: RefSeq, a predicted model, not a curated record